Molecule: ribosomal RNA, 339 nt
Filed under: Citrobacter braakii
Lineage: Bacteria; Pseudomonadati; Pseudomonadota; Gammaproteobacteria; Enterobacterales; Enterobacteriaceae
Description: partial 23S ribosomal RNA
Rfam family: Bacterial large subunit ribosomal RNA
Source: RNAcentral
UGUUUCGGCUAGGGGGUCAUCCCGACUUACCAACCCGAUGCAAACUGCGAAUACCGAAGAAUGUUAUCACGGGAGACACACGGCGGGUGCUAACGUCCGUCGUGAAGAGGGAAACAACCCAGACCGCCAGCUAAGGUCCCAAAGUCAUGGUUAAGUGGGAAACGAUGUGGGAAGGCACAGACAGCCAGGAUGUUGGCUUAGAAGCAGCCAUCAUUUAAAGAAAGCGUAAUAGCUCACUGGUCGAGUCGGCCUGCGCGGAAGAUGUAACGGGGCUAAACCAUGCACCGAAGCUGCGGCAGCGACACUAUGUGUUGUUGGGUAGGGGAGCGUUCUGUAAGC